RNAcentral lists this long non-coding RNA (282 nucleotides) under Cavia porcellus (domestic guinea pig). RNAcentral's name for it is "lncRNA (ENSCPOG00000035588.1)". Lineage: Eukaryota; Metazoa; Chordata; Mammalia; Rodentia; Caviidae. The record is from RNAcentral.
AUAACACUUCUAGAGGGCCCACGAGCCCAGGAAAGCGGGGAACUGCCAACUCCAGGUAGACAGCAUUCAUGAACUCGUCAUUUGGGUGCUUUUCAAAUUAAUGAUCAUGGUAAUGGAACACCUGAGAGGGAUUUAGAUGACUCAUUUUUAUAGAAGAAAGUGUCCCACGUUAAUAGCUCUGUCCAGGAUGAACUCUGCAAAGAGGGCACUCAGUAUAUGGGCGGCAAGGAGAACCAUGCCUUGAUUGUGAAAAGCAGUGCCCUUGAUUCAGCUCUGGAACUC